UACGUAGGAUCCGAGCGUUAUCCGAAUUCACUGGGCGUAAAGCGCGUGUAGGCGGUUCAGUAAGUUGGAUGUGAAAGCUCCUGGCUCAACUGGGAGAGGACGUUCAAUACUGUUGGACUAGAGGGCGAGAGAGGGAGGUGGAAUUCCCGGUGUAGUGGUGAAAUGCGUAGAUAUCGGGAGGAACACCAGUGGCGAAGGCGGCCUCCUGGCUCGUACCUGACGCUCAGGCGCGAAAGCUAGGGGAGCGAACAGG
Molecule: ribosomal RNA, 253 nt
Filed under: uncultured bacterium
Lineage: Bacteria
Description: partial 16S ribosomal RNA
Rfam family: Bacterial small subunit ribosomal RNA
Source: RNAcentral